AGCGAACGCUGGCGGCAGGCUUAACACAUGCAAGUCGAGCGGGCGUAGCAAUACGUCAGCGGCAGACGGGUGAGUAACGCGUGGGAACGUACCUUUUGGUUCGGAACAACACAGGGAAACUUGUGCUAAUACCGGAUAAGCCCUUACGGGGAAAGAUUUAUCGCCGAAAGAUCGGCCCGCGUCUGAUUAGCUAGUUGGUGGGGUAACGGCUCACCAAGGCGACGAUCAGUAGCUGGGCUGAGAGGCUGAGCAGACACAUUGGGGCUGAGAAACGGCCCCAAAUCCUAGGGGAGGGCGGCAUGGGGGAUAUUGGAAGAUGGGGGGAACGCUGAAGCCGCCCGGGCGGGGUAGUGAUUAAGGGCCUAGGGUUGUAAAGCUCUUUUGUGCGGGGAGAUAAUGACGGUACCGCAAGAAUAAGCCCCGGCUAACUUCGUG
RNAcentral lists this ribosomal RNA (435 nucleotides) under uncultured bacterium. Its description in RNAcentral is "partial 16S ribosomal RNA". It matches the Rfam family "Bacterial small subunit ribosomal RNA", at positions 30 to 507 of the family's 1533-position model. The record is from RNAcentral.